Vitis riparia (riverbank grape) is the source of this 2076-nucleotide long non-coding RNA. RefSeq lists it as uncharacterized. The transcript has 2 exons. The record is from RefSeq and is a predicted model, not a curated record. NCBI's taxonomy places the organism in Eukaryota, Viridiplantae, Streptophyta, Magnoliopsida, Vitales, Vitaceae.
UCUCUCACCUCUUUUUAUGUUCUCCUCUCUAUAUCCCUUACUGUCAUGAGGUUCUCACCUCAUUCCCGACAAUUUUUUUUUCCUGGUAGCAUGGAAAGUGAAAGAAACUGGAGGUAGGAAGCCGAGGCUCUUGUGUCUCAUCUAUGGCGGUGUCUCCCCGGAGUGGAAUCUAGGGUGCGGCGGAAGCCAUAGGCUUGAAAUAAGGGGAAGUGAAAGGCGGAGGACUUUUGAGUUUUAUUGGCCGAGAAGCUAGAGCACGGUGUCUCUCUAUGGAUUUGUUGACGAUGUGUCGGAUGAUAAAGAUUUGACUCAAUUUAUUACUCAAUCUUUAGAUGGCAAUUGUUCGAGUGGAGACUUGGUAGAUAAAAUAGUGUCUUUCUAUAAAGCAGCCAAGGACUCGGAAGAGAGGCUGCAGGAUGGGGCUAAUCAGAAGCCUCGGUACAGUUUAAGGUCUUUUUAUCGUGCAAUAGAAAAUACUAACAAAUCAAACAGAAAAUUUGGAUUUUAGAAAGCAAUUUAUGGUGGAUUUUCUAUGUUUUUUCUCACUUUGUUAGAUGCGCCGAGUGCUAAGUUAAUGAACCAAAUGAUUUUGUCAAAAUUAUUAGGAGGAAAGAUACCUCCAUAAAUACCUUUUUGAUGAAUACUUGAUGGCUAGGGGAAGCACAAGCUCUGGUGAUUUCUUGGAGAACUAUAUUUUAACUAGAAGUGUGAGGGAGCAUCUCAGGAACCUGGCUCGUGCUGUUUUGAUUAAACGAUAUCCUGUUCUCUUACAGGGUCCCACCUCCAGUGGAAAGACGAGUCUUGUGCAAUAUCUUGCUACAAAAACCGGCCAUGAAUUAGAAAUAUAUCUAUUUUGGAGGAAAUAUAUCUUGUUCUGAGCAGAUGUUGGGCCUAUAAGCCGUGGAUUCUGGACUAGGUUGUCAUAUUAUGAUAUAAGUGUUAAAAGCCAAAUUAGAAAUAAAUGUCUUCUAACUGCGGAUCCUAGAUUUUGUUUGUUAUAUAGUAAACUUUUUGUUGGUCUAUAAGCUGUAUUGGAAGCUUACUUUGUCAGUCAACCUGGCAUAUAUUGCUAAAUUUCACUACAACAUAGGGAAUAUCUCUGAUAAGAGUGAUUUUCCGAGGUCACCCAAUAUGAUGUUUGGUGCUUGUCUAACUUUGUCAUGAUCAUUACUUGUUCUCUGUGUCUGAUCAUGUUUGAUGUGUAUGCUAGGACAAGCUGGCUUUUACUCUGCGAGGUGCAUCUAAGAUGAAUACCUUUUUGUGUGUAUACUGGUAGCCGUGUUUGUUGAAACAAUUGCAUUCUUAUGGGAUGCAUUUACAUCAUGAUUUCAACUUCUUUGCAUUGUUGAAUGUUGUUGGACAUGCUCAUCAUUGCCAAUUGGAAAUUUGAAAUUAUGCAAAUUUUGCUGUCAUGCUUAAAUGAUUAAGCCAAAUAACAUGCCUCAGAUUCUUGGUGCAGGUCUACCUUAAGUUAUUUCAGAUUUGUUCCACCUCCGUUUGAAUGGAUAGUGAUUAAAGGAUCAGUUUCCGAGUUGCCAGCUAAGACAUCAUCUUGGGUGAAUGCAGAUAAUCAUGCCGGAUUGCAUUGCUUAGUGCUUAAUUUCAAACUAAUCUUUCUUGCUUUUGUUAGAUAUAUCUUUACCAUCUUUAUUAUUUUCACUAUACACAACACCUUGAUCAUUUUUAAUACAUUCCCUAUUCUUUCUAGCUCCAUGGUGGCCCGAUCUGGCUUCCUUGUAUAUUCACAAUAUACUUGGCUUGUGCUCCCUUUUGGAGCCUUCAGGUUCUGUCUUUGUUAUUCACUUAUAUAGAAAAGAUGGGUUUAGAAUAGCAGUGCAAUAAAUACUGUGCAAUUUCAUCACCUGUACUAGUUUGUGACAUAUGUAUUGAGCGACUGCCUAAGGCGUGCUCAAGCACUGACCUUGCUUGUGUGAGUAUUUACUGCUUUGCAGGGUUUGGGGCCUUCUAUUUUCUGUAUCAUGCUUUUCCUUGGAGUUGUUGUGCAGCUGAUUUCUUGUUUAACUUUUAAACUUUUAAAGACAUCGUGGUUGGAAUAUGAGCUUAAUUCUGUGUCUA